RNAcentral lists this small nuclear RNA (18 nucleotides) under Arabidopsis thaliana (thale cress). Its description in RNAcentral is "snRNA_19236". Lineage: Eukaryota; Viridiplantae; Streptophyta; Magnoliopsida; Brassicales; Brassicaceae. The record is from RNAcentral.
CCCGUAAGGCGCAAGGAA